UGCGUAGGCGGAUAUUUUAAGUCAGAUGUGAAAUUCCCGGGCUUAACCUGGGCGCUGCAUUUGAUACUGGAUAUCUAGAGUGCAGGAGAGGAAAGUGGAAUUCCUAGUGUAGCGGUGAAAUGCGUAGAGAUUAGGAAGAACACCAGUGGCGAAGGCGACUUUCUGGACUGUAACUGACGCUGAGGCACGAAAGCGGUGGGGAGCGAACA
This 209-nucleotide ribosomal RNA is filed under the name uncultured bacterium. RNAcentral's name for it is "partial 16S ribosomal RNA". It matches the Rfam family "Bacterial small subunit ribosomal RNA", at positions 568 to 774 of the family's 1533-position model. The record is from RNAcentral.